This 76-nucleotide transfer RNA is filed under the name Eubacterium sp. RNAcentral describes it as "tRNA-Lys". It matches the Rfam family "tRNA". Rfam says of the family: Transfer RNA (tRNA) molecules are approximately 80 nucleotides in length. Their secondary structure includes four short double-helical elements and three loops (D, anti-codon, and T loops). Further hydrogen bonds mediate the characteristic L-shaped molecular structure. tRNAs have two regions of fundamental functional importance: the anti-codon, which is responsible for specific mRNA codon recognition, and the 3' end, to which the tRNAs corresponding amino acid is attached (by aminoacyl-tRNA synthetases). tRNAs cope with the degeneracy of the genetic code in two manners: having more than one tRNA (with a specific anti-codon) for a particular amino acid; and 'wobble' base-pairing, i.e. permitting non-standard base-pairing at the 3rd anti-codon position. Lineage: Bacteria; Bacillati; Bacillota; Clostridia; Eubacteriales; Eubacteriaceae. The record is from RNAcentral.
GAGUCACUAGCUCAGGCGGCAGAGCACCUGCCUUUUAAGCAGGGUGUCCCGGGUUCGAUUCCCGGGUGACUCACCA